RNAcentral lists this long non-coding RNA (1529 nucleotides) under Anas platyrhynchos platyrhynchos (common mallard). Its description in RNAcentral is "lncRNA (ENSAPLG00000029872.1)". The record is from RNAcentral. Lineage: Eukaryota; Metazoa; Chordata; Aves; Anseriformes; Anatidae.
GCCGCCACCACCCUGCUUCCCUUUGCUUUGCGCUAUGCAAUGGCUGCUGGGUUGGGUGGCAGAUGCCUGAGGUGAACCCCUGGGGAUAUAGCUGGGCGUGCUGUCCGUCCAUCCACCCAUCCAUCUUUCCGUCCGUCCGUCCGUCCGUCCAUCCAUCCAUCCGUCCGUCCGUCCGUCCGUCCCCGGGCCGCCUCUCCGCGGAUCAGCCAGCAAGGGGCGCUGGGCGGCGGGUUUGCGGGGCGGCGGGUUUGCGGGCUGCGGAUCACCUGCAGCAGCGGGGGGGCCGGGAGCUCCGCCCUCCCCCCCCCGCCGUUAAUCGCAUCCCCCUCCCCCUGUGCCAGGCACUGGCACUGAGGCGGCCGAGCCGCUCCGAGCCGUGCCGAGCCUCGCCAACCUGCUGCAGGCGGGCGGGCACCCGCACCCCGCUCGCAGCCGGGGCCGGGCUGGGGCUGCCGCCUCCGCCAUCCCCGCACUUGCCCCAGCCCGGUAGGGCGGCCAGCCUUCGGCCGCCUCCUCCUCCUCACCGGCAGCCACCGCCGCCGCCCGGCAGAAAGACAGAGCGGGGGAGCCAUGGCCGAGGGGGGCGAGGGCGAGGACGAGAUCCAGUUCCUGCGAACUGAUAUGUGGCACCUAUGCUCGUUGCACAGCUGAACAGUAAAUGGAAUGCAGUGAAGCAGAACAGUGCAUAUGUGGAGGCUGAGGAAGCUAUUAAAGACUGAGCUAGUAAAGUCUGUGCUGAGAUCCUGAUUUAUAGCAUAUGUAAGUCGAUGGAAAUAUUCCACUAACUGCAGUAUUUGUCAUAUAAAACAGCAGGAGAAGAAAGUUUGAGUGUACUAGCAUAACUUACCAUUUUUAACCUCUAAAUGCAUAAUUUUGCAAAUGUGACAUUCAGUGGUCUGUAUGCUAUUUCAGAGUUGGUAUGCUCUCACAGGGCAGUAAAAUCACAUGGUCAGUGUUAAGUCUUUGUGAGGUAAUUAUGUGGACAGAUUAAUUAAUUAUUAUGGACAGAUUACAAAGAGUACAACAAAUUAUUUAGGUCAGUAAUAGUUCCUGUGUUUUCUGUGAGGGAGUAAACUAUAAAAUAUAAAAAAUCAUGUAAAAUAGCUGAAAACUGUUGCCUGUUUUUAUCCUGAAGUGGAAGCAAAAUGUAAAUGUCAAGGUCAUGACAUAAUGAGCUGAAGCACAGAAUUCAGAAGUUUAAAAAACAUGCAUAAUUAUUGAAAGUUUAAGGUACUAGAAUGUGAAGAAGGGAAAAACAAACAAACAGCCCCCCCCCUAAACUUAGCAGGUUCUGAAAGAAAUGCUUAAAAUGCAAAAAUUCCACCAUCAAAACCACACCUACAUCUGUAUAGCUAGCAGCUCUAGUGCUGUAGAUGAAGCCUUCCUGUGACAAUCCAGUCAGCCAGUUUUGUUCCGUUAAUAGAACUGACAUAUCAAGAAGGUUAAAGAUUAGUCAGAACUGACUUUACACAGGAGGUAUAAAUUUUCAGGCUUUUAGGGUCAAAGAGUCACACUGUGUAUUACAAGGA